RNAcentral lists this ribosomal RNA (305 nucleotides) under uncultured bacterium. Its description in RNAcentral is "bacterial SSU rRNA". It matches the Rfam family "Bacterial small subunit ribosomal RNA", at positions 338 to 640 of the family's 1533-position model. The record is from RNAcentral.
CCUACGGGACGCAGCAGUGAGGAAUAUUGGUCAAUGGGCUUACGCCUGAACCAGCCAAGUCGCGUGAGGGAAGACUGCCCUAUGGGUUGUAAACCUCUUUUGUCAGGGAGCAACGCCGGCUACGUGUAGCCGGACUGAGAGUACCUGAAGAAAAAGCAUCGGCUAACUCCGUGCCAGCAGCCGCGGUAAUACGGAGGAUGCGAGCGUUAUCCGGAUUUAUUGGGUUUAAAGGGUGCGUAGGCGGACAGUCAAGUCAGCGGUAAAAAUGCGGUGCUCAACGCCGUACAGCCGUUGAAACUGGCAGU